AAAAAUUCCACUUUCCGUAGCUGAACCUUGCGGAGGGAUCAUCAUAGAAGUUUUCUAAACUCCCCAACCCCAUGUGAACUUACCUUUUGUUGCCUCGGGCAGAAGUUAUAGGUCUUCUUAUAGCUGCUGCCGGUGGACCAUUAAACUCUUGUUAUUUUUAUGUAAUCUGAGCGUCCUUAUUUUAAUAAGUCAAAACUUUCAACAACGGAUCUCUUGGUUCUGGCAUCGAUGAAGAACGCAGCGAAAUGCGAUAAGUAAUGUGAAUUGCAGAAUUCAGUGAAUCAUCGAAUCUUUGAACGCACAUUGCGCCCAUUAGUAUUCUAGUGGGCAUGCCUGUUCGAGCGUCAUUUCAACCCUUAAGCCUAGCUUAGUGUUGGGAAUCUACUUCUUUUAUUAGUUGUAGUUCCUGAAAUACAACGGCGGAUUUGUAGUAUCCUCUGAGCGUAGUAAUUUUUUUCUCGCUUUUGUUAGGUGCUAUAACUCCCAGCCGCUAAACGGCCCAAUUUUUUGUGGUUGACCUUUGGG
RNAcentral lists this ribosomal RNA (525 nucleotides) under Pestalotiopsis sp. FLS-2010. RNAcentral's name for it is "eukaryotic LSU rRNA". The stretch from base 194 to 347 matches the Rfam family "5.8S ribosomal RNA". The record is from RNAcentral. Lineage: Eukaryota; Fungi; Ascomycota; Sordariomycetes; Amphisphaeriales; Sporocadaceae.